CGGACAUGAAUCUUUUUUUGCUGCUACUGGGAUUCUCUCACCCAGACGCGCUGUCACUCGGCCUCCUUGUGUCGCUCGCUGUCUGUGGCAUUGACAGACGCGGUUAAGGAGGCUUUGUCGCAACCACGCGACGUUCUCUCUUGUCUUCUUGAGUGCCUCCGUUCGCAAGAUAGUGCGUAUAAGGUGGUACCCACACUGGGUGCAAAAGGAAAUUUCCGAUAACAUGACUUGGUUUACUUUGAAAGAACGUGCCUAUAGUCGUCCUGCGUUUAGCUGUCUCCAAGCGUUGGACGAAUGCGUAGAGCGUAGUUUUUUUGAAGAUUCCCUGCUGAGUGCGCAAGUAUAAAAACAAGCGUGCGCGCGUAUACUAUAUAACGGCCGUAAUUCGACGUCAACUGGAGGAAGAGGCCUCACUUUUCAAGGGUGAAGACUUGCUAGUACAUUAAAUAUAUUAGCAGGCGCUUUUCAUCUGCGCUUCCUUCCAUGGGAAUGCACGGAGCAUGUGCCUGACCGAUUCAGCUGCUACUGCUGAUUCUGCCGAAUCGGAACCUCGCCCGUGGAUCAUCGACAACCUCGACACCAGGAACCAUGGUGAAACAACGCCGUGGGAAGACCGCACCCGCUUUUUAUAACGCAGGAGGGCAGCUACAAGGACACAAAGAUGUCAAAGAGCCAGUGCAGCGCGACUUCCCGUAGUGCACAGGAGCGCAUGCCAAAGAAUCAAGAGACAUUGCCAUGCAAUUUGGACAAGAAAACUAGAAUGUGGGUAUAUUGGGUGUGCCAUUUGACUAAAUGUCAACAAAAUCAAAAUACAGUAUGUCACACCUAGAUGGAAAUUCUCACGUGUUUAGGCAGUCAUCAUAACAUGGCGUAUUUAUGUAAUGUUUCUGAUGGGAAAGUCAAAAUCAAGCAUGCCCUCUGGAGACAAACACAUAGGAGCAAGUGUCAUUGAAAAGUUACAAAUGUGUAAAAAAAAACCUGAUUAGUUUUGUGAGAGGUGUCUGCUUUUUAACUUGCCUCUCAACAGAUAUAACCAUGGCAUAAAAAAAUUUGUGGUACAAUGAAAUUGCAUAUUUGCUUAGUGACAUGAUACAUACUUGCAAUCAGCACGUCGCCUGUGUUCUCUGUAAAAAGCAACAGCUCAUGCUUGGUUAGGUGUUUACAUGCAUUUAACGUUUAACAGCUUACAUUUAACAGCACGUGAGUGCAAGGGUGCAAAUACAGACUACUGUGAUUCUGUAUUUUAAAUGCUGACAGGAAGCAGAGAGAUAUUCAUGGCCUCGCUUUUAUAUAUUUUUACACCUAAUUUUAGAAGUAUGGCGGCCUUCUAGGUUUCAGAAAGGGGAAGCAUUGGGGGAAGAGAAUCCUAUGUUUCAGAAGUCAUUAUCGUUUACGUGCGUGCUCACGAAACCAGUUCACUAAAACCACUCGUGCCCCCCCCCCCCCCCCCCGAAGCGAAAGCAAGGAGCAAUUAAGGUCUAAUAAUGUGUACACCGCUGUGCAAAUAUGACGUCUUAGAAGCCGGAGAGCCACUUGGAAUUGAAAAUUAUUUUUAAAAUGUAAAAUUGUGCUUUCUCCUGUGAAAUAGUCAUAUGAUAGCCUCAGGCAGGUAUUUGAUAUUUUGAUUAGGGUGACUCAAUCUACUUGGCAACCAAGUAUGCUAGUGGAGGUAGAAAUGCGUUCAAUGUAAAGAACUGAGAGCAUCUGAGUAGAACAUUUGUUCAUCAAUUGGCGGAUGUGUACAUAUAGUGUUAAGUAAAAUGCCCUAAGUUUCAUGGCUUCUGUAGACAUUUUUGUAAGGCAAAAUAAAAUUUAAGCAUUUUUUUGCACAUGGUAAAUUUCUGCACUUAAGAUAAAGUGCACAGUGAGGUGAUGUAUUAUAUUUUCAGACACAUAUGUACUUGUUUUGAGACGAACAUUCUGUGAAAUGCGAUAAUUUUUCUUACUGUUGCGCAUCUUAACCAUUUCAUCAUCAGCCAUUCCAAUCAAAAAUGCGUAUGCAUUGGUGAAUGCGACGCCCAAACGUAAGGCAGCACAGCACUGCUUCCUCAUUUCGCGGAAGACCUGAUAACAGCCGCAGUUGCUUAGAGGGAUCGAGGGAAUGCAAUUGAUGUUGAGUGAAUUCAGGUGUGUGCCACUUCUCCAAUGUCAUAGAGUGCGCUAUAUGUGUGAGAAAGUGCAACGUAUAAAUCUCAACAGCACCAGGAAACUGCUUUCGUGAGGAAGCCAACGAAAUAGGAAAUAUGAUACGCCUCUGUACCGCUUUGAGACCGGGCAGGACAUGGCUGCAAAACCACGACAAGACACACUUAGGAACAAUGGGGUGCAGACCAUAGAUGAAUACCUUUAUGUGAAAUAUAAGCAAAGCUAGCUAUACCUGCGGCCUCACAUGAGAAUAUACAACUCAUUUCUAAAUGCAUUGUACUCAGUCAGGAACAUCCAUACGCUGUACAGGACGUUAUCAAAUGAGAUGCCAUCUUAGAAUAUGGCACACAAAAAAGUUGCUUGCGCAAUUUAUCUACAUUACCAGCCGCAUGCAUAGCAGUUCAUCUGUUAACCUCUGCCAUAUAAGUGCACGCGUUUUGUGCCAGAAAUGCGUUUGCUGGCCAGUAAUGUGGCGCAUAUUUCUCUUCGAUCAUAGUGUCAAUAUUUUGUGAGUUUGCACACGUUUUUUCUUUGUCUAACUUUCCAUUGUAUACUUUAUUUUCGAGAAGAAGGAGCGAAUUGAAAUUACAGGAUAUUUCUACACUGUAAUACUGAUGAAACUUUGGAGAAUAUACUUAUGUUUUAUUACUAGAUGUGUUCUAAAGUUCAUGGACAUCAUUGUAAUGUGAUUUUAUGUGUUUGUCAGUAUGUUUCUCAAAUUAUUAUUCAGUUUGUCUUGUGACUGAUCAAUAAAGAUUUUGACCUUUUAAG
This is an RNA transcript of Dermacentor albipictus, 2916 nucleotides long. RefSeq lists it as uncharacterized. Lineage: Eukaryota; Metazoa; Arthropoda; Arachnida; Ixodida; Ixodidae. The record is from RefSeq and is a predicted model, not a curated record.